RNAcentral lists this ribosomal RNA (468 nucleotides) under uncultured bacterium. Its description in RNAcentral is "partial 16S ribosomal RNA". It matches the Rfam family "Bacterial small subunit ribosomal RNA", at positions 28 to 507 of the family's 1533-position model. The record is from RNAcentral.
GACGAACGCUGGCGGCGUGCUUAACACAUGCCAGUCGAACGGAAAGGCCCUGCUUCUGUGGGGUGCUCGAGUGGCGAACGGGUGAGUAACACGUGAGUAACCUGCCCUUGACUUUGGGAUAACUUCAGGAAACUGGGGCUAAUACCGGAUAGGAGCUCCUGCUGCAUGGUGGGGGUUGGAAAGUUUCGGCGGUUGGGGAUGGACUCGCGGCUUAUCAGCUUGUUGGUGGGGUAGUGGCUUACCAAGGCUUUGACGGGUAGCCGGCCUGAGAGGGUGACCGACCACAUUGGGACUGAGAUACGGCCCAGACUCCUACGGGAGGCAGCAGUGGGGAAUAUUGCACAAUGAGCGGAAGCCUGAUGCAGCAACGCCGCGUGCGGGAUGACGGCCUUCGGGUUGUAAACCGCUUUCGCCUGUGACGAAGCGUGAGUGACGGUAAUGGGUAAAGAAGCACCGGCUAACUACGUG